GGAGGAUCAUUAUCGUAGGGCUUCGGCCCUGUCGAGAUAGAACCCUUGCCUUUUUGAGUACCUUUCGUUUCCUCGGCAGGCUCGCCUGCCAAUGGGGACCACAAAAAACACUUUGCAGUACCUGUAACAGUCUGAACAAACAAAACAAAAAUUAAAACUUUCAACAACGGAUCUCUUGGUUCUGGCAUCGAUGAAGAACGCAGCGAAAUGCGAUAAGUAGUGUGAAUUGCAGAAUUCAGUGAAUCAUCGAAUCUUUGAACGCACAUUGCGCCCUUUGGUAUUCCUUAGGGCAUGCCUGUUCGAGCGUCAUUUAAACCUUCAAGCUAAGCUUGGUGUUGGGUGACUGUCCGCUUCACUGCGGACUCGCCUCAAAAUUAUUGGCGGCCGGUACAUUGGCUUCGAGCGCAGCAGAAACGCGAACUCGGGCCCGUCGUAUUGGCUCCCAGAAGCUAUCUUCACAAUUUUGACCUCGGAUCAGGUAGGGAUACCCGCUGAACUUAAGCAUAUCAAUAAGCGGAGA
Molecule: ribosomal RNA, 520 nt
Filed under: uncultured Pleosporales
Lineage: Eukaryota; Fungi; Ascomycota; Dothideomycetes; Pleosporales
Description: eukaryotic LSU rRNA
Rfam family: 5.8S ribosomal RNA (bases 156-309)
Source: RNAcentral